GUCGAGCGGACAGAAGGGAGCUUGCUCCCGGAUGUUAGCGGCGGACGGGUGAGUAACACGUGGGUAACCUGCCUGUAAGACUGGGAUAACUCCGGGAAACCGGAGCUAAUACCGGAUAGUUCCUUGAACCGCAUGGUUCAAGGAUGAAAGACGGUUUCGGCUGUCACUUACAGAUGGACCCGCGGCGCAUUAGCUAGUUGGUGAGGUAACGGCUCACCAAGGCGACGAUGCGUAGCCGACCUGAGAGGGUGAUCGGCCACACUGGGACUGAGACACGGCCCAGACUCCUACGGGAGGCAGCAGUAGGGAAUCUUCCGCAAUGGACGAAAGUCUGACGGAGCAACGCCGCGUGAGUGAUGAAGGUUUUCGGAUCGUAAAGCUCUGUUGUUAGGGAAGAACAAGUGCAAGAGUAACUGCUUGCACCUUGACGGUACCUAACCAGAAAGCCACGGCUAACUACGUGCCAGCAGCCGCGGUAAUACGUAGGUGGCAAGCGUUGUCCGGAAUUAUUGGGCGUAAAGGGCUCGCAGGCGGUUUCUUAAGUCUGAUGUGAAAGCCCCCGGCUCAACCGGGGAGGGUCAUUGGAAACUGGGAAACUUGAGUGCAGAAGAGGAGAGUGGAAUUCCACGUGUAGCGGUGAAAUGCGUAGAGAUGUGGAGGAACACCAGUGGCGAAGGCGACUCUCUGGUCUGUAACUGACGGAGCGGACAGAAGGGAGCUUGCUCCCGGAUGUUAGCGGCGGACGGGUGAGUAACACGUGGGUAACCUGCCUGUAAGACUGGGAUAACUCCGGGAAACCGGAGCUAAUACCGGAUAGUUCCUUGAACCGCAUGGUUCAAGGAUGAAAGACGGUUUCGGCUGUCACUUACAGAUGGACCCGCGGCGCAUUAGCUAGUUGGUGAGGUAACGGCUCACCAAGGCGACGAUGCGUAGCCGACCUGAGAGGGUGAUCGGCCACACUGGGACUGAGACACGGCCCAGACUCCUACGGGAGGCAGCAGUAGGGAAUCUUCCGCAAUGGACGAAAGUCUGACGGAGCAACGCCGCGUGAGUGAUGAAGGUUUUCGGAUCGUAAAGCUCUGUUGUUAGGGAAGAACAAGUGCAAGAGUAACUGCUUGCACCUUGACGGUACCUAACCAGAAAGCCACGGCUAACUACGUGCCAGCAGCCGCGGUAAUACGUAGGUGGCAAGCGUUGUCCGGAAUUAUUGGGCGUAAAGGGCUCGCAGGCGGUUUCUUAAGUCUGAUGUGAAAGCCCCCGGCUCAACCGGGGAGGGUCAUUGGAAACUGGGAAACUUGAGUGCAGAAGAGGAGAGUGGAAUUCCACGUGUAGCGGUGAAAUGCGUAGAGAUGUGGAGGAACACCAG
This 1366-nucleotide ribosomal RNA is filed under the name Bacillus sp. 14076. RNAcentral describes it as "bacterial SSU rRNA". The stretch from base 1 to 855 matches the Rfam family "Bacterial small subunit ribosomal RNA". Lineage: Bacteria; Bacillati; Bacillota; Bacilli; Caryophanales; Bacillaceae. The record is from RNAcentral.